Molecule: ribosomal RNA, 515 nt
Filed under: uncultured euryarchaeote
Lineage: Archaea; Methanobacteriati; Methanobacteriota
Description: bacterial SSU rRNA
Rfam family: Archaeal small subunit ribosomal RNA
Source: RNAcentral
GCGCGAAACCUUCACAAUGCACGAAAGUGUGAUGAGGGUACUCCGAGUGCGCAUACAUUGUAUGUGCUUUUCUGCAGCGUAAAUAGUUGCAGGAAUAAGGGCUGGGCAAGACCGGUGCCAGCCGCCGCGGUAACACCGGCAGCCCUAGUGGUGGUCGCUUUUAUUGGGCCUAAGGCGUCCGUAGCCGGAUAGGCAAGUCUUUGGGUAAAUCCUACGUCUUAAGCGUGGGAAUUCUAAAGAUACUACCUGUCUUGAGGCCGGGAGAGGCUAGAGGUACUCCUGGGGUAGGGGUAAAAUCCUAUAAUCCUGGGGGGACCACCGAUGGCGAAGACAUCUAGCUGGAACGGGCCUGACGGUGAGGGACGAAACCCAGGGGAGCGAGCCGGAUUAGAUACCCGGGUAGUCCUGGGCGUAAAUGAUGUGGGCUUGGUGUGAGCGCAUCGACGAGGUGCGUUUGUGCCGUAGGGAAGCCGUUAAGCCCACCGCCUGGGGAGUACGGUCGCAAGGCUGAAACU